CUAAGAAUCUUGCGCAAUGGGCGAAAGCCUGACGCAGCAAUUCCGCGUGGGGGACGAAGGCCCUCGGGUCGUAAACCCCUUUUACGAGGGAAGAAGUUCUGACGGUACCUCGUGAAUAAGCCACGGCUAACUACGUGCCAGCAGCCGCGGUAAUACGUAGGUGGCGAGCGUUGUCCGGAUUUAUUGGGCGUAAAGAGCCCGCAGGCGGCUUGGUAAGUUUCAGGUGAAAUCUCCCGGCUUAACUGGGAGGGUGCCUGGAAAACUAUCAGGCUUGAGGCAGGGAGAGGGAUGUGGAAUUCCCGGUGUAGUGGUGAAAUGCGUAGAUAUCGGGAGGAACACCAGUGGCGAAGGCGGCAUCCUGGCCCUGUCCUGACGCUCAGGGGCGAAAGCGUGGGGAGCAAACC
Molecule: ribosomal RNA, 404 nt
Filed under: uncultured bacterium
Lineage: Bacteria
Description: bacterial SSU rRNA
Rfam family: Bacterial small subunit ribosomal RNA
Source: RNAcentral